UACAGAGGUCUCAAGCGUUGUUCGGAUUCAUUGGGCGUAAAGGGCGCGUAGGCGGCGGGGUAAGUCGGGUGUGAAAUCUCAGAGCUCAACUCUGAAACUGCACUCGAUACUGCUCUGCUUGAGGACUGGAGAGGAGACUGGAAUUCACGGUGUAGCAGUGAAAUGCGUAGAUAUCAAGUGGAACACCAGUGGCGAAGGCGAGUCUCUGGACAUUUCCUGACGCUGAGGCACGAAAGCCAGGGGAGCAAACGGG
Molecule: ribosomal RNA, 253 nt
Filed under: uncultured bacterium
Lineage: Bacteria
Description: partial 16S ribosomal RNA
Rfam family: Bacterial small subunit ribosomal RNA
Source: RNAcentral